Molecule: non-coding RNA, 179 nt
Filed under: Palleronia marisminoris
Lineage: Bacteria; Pseudomonadati; Pseudomonadota; Alphaproteobacteria; Rhodobacterales; Roseobacteraceae
Description: Ruegeria cis52 sRNA
Rfam family: Ruegeria cis52 sRNA
About the family: Cis-encoded. Targets oligo/dipeptide ABC transporter.
Source: Rfam by way of RNAcentral
UUCUCAGCGCGUGUUUCAGCACCACGUUGCGGAAGCUUACCCCUUUGAGGCGCGCGGUGCGGAUGUAUUGCUGCUGCAUGACCUCGGCCAUGCUCGCGCGGGUCAUCCGCGCAAUGUAGCCCAUCCCGAAGAGGGCGAUGGUCACGACGGGCAGGAAGAAGUUCUCGAAGGUGGCGUUC